Molecule: long non-coding RNA, 2456 nt
Organism: Sciurus carolinensis (gray squirrel)
Lineage: Eukaryota; Metazoa; Chordata; Mammalia; Rodentia; Sciuridae
Exons: 3
Source: RefSeq, a predicted model, not a curated record
ACUAGCUUCCGUUCCUUUUCCUUCGCGUUCCGGUGGGAAACAGGGGCGAGUCACUGUGUUCCGGGUUCUUUGCGGCCGCUCGGAGCCCGCAGUCUCCUGACUAUACAGACCAGCUCGCAGCGAUGCUAAUCUCGGGGGUGGAGUCCCACUCCGGAGUGCAGCGAGCGUGCGCUGUGUGAGCGGACCCGGACCCGACCGCCGAGUGGAGGAAGUGAACAGUUCAACAAAACUGCUGAUGACGCCAGUAAGAGAAGGCGAGAAUUUCACCUUGUCUUCGGGGAAAGGAGCCACAGCGUUCAUGCUCCUCUCAGAGGCAUCCGUGAGCACCAAAGAGAAUUCUAGGCUGCCAUGAGGUGGGUUGCUUCCUUCACCACAUACUUCUCCAGCCAUGAUGUUCCACCUCACUACAGGCCCAGAAGCAAUGGAGCUGCUGACCAUGGACUGAAACAUCUGAAACAUGAACCAAAAGAAAGGGAUUCUCCACAAGGGAACAGAGAUACUCUUGAAAUCUCCACUGACCAAGUGACCAAAACAUGUGAUGGAAGGAGAGAGAUUUGGGAACCAAAGAGCACACAAUCGCUUUCGAACUUUCUUACUGAAAUUUCUACCUUGGAAGAUGACGUUCCCAACAGAGAGGAAGCCUGAAGAUGGAACACCACACCCAGAGCCCAGGGGAGCUUUGGCCCAGGCCAAGUGUCCUCCAGGGUCAUCUUGUCCCCUGUAGCCACCUCUUCUUCCCUGUAAAGAGGGUACUAAAAUGUUCAUCAUCAGUUCUUUCCUUUAAGUUUUGUAUUUUGAAUAACUCCUGUGCUUGUGCACAUUGAUAUAUUUGUUAUGCUUUUCUCUAAUUAAUCUGCCUUUAAAAAAUGGAGGUUGUCAGCUAUGAGCCUUGAUGAUGGGCAUGAAAGGGGUCCCCUACACGGACAUGUGAUCUGCUUUCUAAAAAUUAUUAUAUUCCUGAGCAUUUCCCACAUCCUUAAUAUGCUGCAAGGGACAUUUUUGAUGGCCUAACAGACCCUCUUUUUUCUUUUUAGGACUGGUGGGUGGCAUCUCAGGGAAGGUGGACCUUUCCCACAGUCUCAAGGGGGUAAAUAAAUAAAUGGAUUUGGAUCUAUGUUUGGAAUAAAGGGGAUAAUUUGACAAACUAUAGCCUGCUAACCAAAUCUGCCUAUCACCUUUCUUAAUGCCUCAUGCCAUACAAAAUGCUUUUUUAUAAUCUUAAGUAAUUUUUAAUGAUUUAAAUAAUUAGAAAAAAUCAAAAGACGAAUAUUAUUUUGUGAGAGGAAAAAUUACAUGGAAUCGAAAUUUCAGUAUUCAAAGCUGAAGUCUUAUUGGAAUAGAGCCACAGUUAGUCAUCUACAGUGUCUACUGCUGCUGUACCUCUACAAUGGCAGUGUUGAACAGAUGCCACAGAGACCACACCCUCUGGAAAGCCUAAAUAUUUACUAGCUGGUCCUGUUCUAAACCCAAUCAUGGUAACUCCAUUUUCCUCCCAGUGUUUAUUUUUGGGAGGAGCAUGAGAUCCAGUUCCAGGUCAAUGAAACACAAAGGAACUCUAUCCAGAGAGCUGCUGGGGCAGUUUUUUUCUCUGAUGAAAAGGAGAUAGGUGAAAGUGCUUCCUUCUUGCUUGAAUAUUGCACGUGAGUAUGUGAUGGACAGAGCCGUGGCAGCCAUUUUGUAGUUACAGGGAAAAGCCAAGAGAAUCAGGGAGAAACUCACUUAGAUAUGGCUGAGCUGUUAAAUCAACCAAACCUGGAUCAUCUUCUAGAUUUCUUUUUAUGUUUAAAAUGAAUAUACUGGUUGGUUGCUGUGGUGACUAGGGAGGUUGAGGCAAGAGGAUCACAAGUUCAAGGUCAACCUCAGCAUCUUGGGGAGACCCUGUCUCCAAAUAAAAUUAGAAAGGGCAUAGGGGAUGUAGCUCAGUGUAGAGCACCCCUGAGCUCAUUCCCCAGUACCACAAAAAUAAAUAAAUAAAUAAAUAAAUAAAUAUACUGAUAGGCAUUCUUAUAACCAAUUAUGGUCUAAAGCAUAUGAUAUGAGAAAUUAAUUUUUAAAUGAUAGCAUAGUAUUUUAUCCUAUUGAUGAUCCAUAAGAACUUUAGUUUCUUAUAGGCAUUUUCCCUAUUUUUUCUACUAUAAAUUUUUGUCUUUUUAAAAAAGUACAAACUUAACAAAUAAAUCUCAUGAUAUAUGCAUGUCACAGUUGACCUUACCUUCUUUCUUCUUUGAUAUACCACUGAAAAACUGUCAAGGAAAAGGCAAGCAAGAGACUCCCGCUUCCCCCAGAAUGUUCUAACAACUUUUACAUUGAAUACAAAUUAUCCCCUUUAUUUGGCAGAAAUUCAUAUCCAUGCUUAUAUAUUUCCAAUGCAAAUUCUAUUUCUCUCCAGAUAAGAAUUGAGGGAGUUUUCAGCAAAGUUGAAUCAGCAACCAAUUGUGUAAUUAAAAGCAUUUUUC